CCUACGGGAGGCAGCAGUGGGGGAUAUUGCACAAUGGAGGAAACUCUGAUGCAGCGAAGCCGCGUGAGGGAAGACGGUCUUCGGAUUGUAAACCUCUGUCUAUGGGGAAGAAAAUGACGGUACCCAAAGAUGAAGCUCCGGCUCACUACGUGCCAGCAGCCGCGGUAGUACGCAGGAAGCGAGCGUUGUCCGGAAUUACUGGGUGUAAAGCGAGCGUAGGCGGGCGAGAAAGUUGAAUGUUAAAUCUACCGGCUUAACUGGUAGCUGCGUUCAAAACUUCUUGGCUUGAGUGAACUAGAGGGAUGCGGAAUUCCUAGUGGAGCGGUGAAAUGCGUAGAUAUUAGGAGGAACACCAGUGGCGAAGGCGGCCUGCUGGGCUUUAACUGACGCUGAGGCUCGAAAGCGUGGGGAGCGAACAGGAUUAGAUACCCGAGUAGUC
Molecule: ribosomal RNA, 439 nt
Filed under: uncultured bacterium
Lineage: Bacteria
Description: partial 16S ribosomal RNA
Rfam family: Bacterial small subunit ribosomal RNA
Source: RNAcentral